Molecule: long non-coding RNA, 2326 nt
Filed under: Marmota monax (woodchuck)
Lineage: Eukaryota; Metazoa; Chordata; Mammalia; Rodentia; Sciuridae
Source: RNAcentral
AGCCGGGCCAAUAGCAGGCCAGCGCCAACGCAGAGGAGGCCGCGCCCGGCCCAGGGAGAUGCAGGUGUGGGAACUUGGGGUACGGCCCAGGUCCAUGUGCCACCAGGGCCCUGAGGGCCCAUGAAAUGUUUUAAUUUUAAUUUCUUCUAUAAUCAGAAGGAAAAAUGAGUAAACAAUAGUGAAUUUAUAAUGAGUUCAGCCUAGGUUAUAUUGGUCUGUAAUCCAAUGCAGUCAUAAAAUAUGAUUUUUAAUAUUUAUGGAGGAAGGGCCUGGGAAGGCAGAGGUGCCCUGGCCCAUGAAGGUCAGCUCUGAUCCUGGCUAGUUCAGACUGUCCCAGGGCCAAGGGUCCAAUGUCUGGCCCCAAGAGUUCUUGGGUUCCCUGUGAAUCGGGCUUCUCCAGAGGCUAGAGGGAUAUCCGUGCCUGCUGUGGAGAGAAGCCAGGGCCUGGUCCCCUGCGUGUGUGUGUGUGUGUGUGUGUGUGUCCUCAUGUGCACACAUGCGUGUUUCACAAUGGAUUCCCAGACAUCUGAGUGUGCAAGUUCCAAUUCAAGAGGCACACAUGUGCAAGGCCGGGUCAGGGCAGUGUGUGAGGGUCGGAUUGUGGGGCGCUAUUGCCCCCUAAGAAAGAGCAGGCUUCCAGGCGGUCCAUAGCCUCUGCACCCACGCGCUCGUCCAGCAGCAUCCAGGGAAACUCAACAAGCUGCAAACAGCUACAUCUGUGAUCUCAUGUGUUCCAGCAACUGCUUUAGAAGGUAACAAUAAAGAGGUGAGAGUCACUUAAUAACAAAAUUCAUUUACUCUAAAAAAUACACGUCUGUAUAUCCCAAAUAACUAGUCGAUGAGCUAAUGAGCUAGCCAACACUUUUCACACUCAGUCCUGAAAACCCUAAGCAUAUUCUACAUAAGUGUCCCGCUUCUCAUUCUCCACAUGUCAAGGGCUCAGAUGCCACACAUGACUGCUUCAGACACUUCAGGGUUAGCAGGGUCCUGUGUCCCCAUGUCCUUCCUCCCAGAGUGGUGAAGACUGGUUUUAUGCUUUUUUUUUUUUUGCUAGCGUCCGUCUUGGUCAGGAAAGGACUCUUCUACUGGUUCACCAAGCCCCCCGCGUCCUUGGGAGCCAAAAGCAUGGGUGUUGGGCUGUAAGCUUCCAGAGCAAGGGGGAACUGGUGGAAAGGGCUCUUCAACUGUGCUCCCAGACGCCAGCGGACGAUACAAAGGGCUGGCUUCAGGCUCACAAUAGUGGGGUGGUUAGUCACAGUGCCAGGGCAGCGGGCAGGGAGACAGAGCCCCUGUGUCUGUGCCUGUUGGGCCGGGCCCUGCAGCCCCCGUGCCCCUGCCUGUGGCUUUUGUUUGCAGCACCCACCCCGCUCCCCACGUUAACCCCCUGCUGCCCACCGCCUACCUGGCAGCCAGGCUGGUGACCUCCUUGCCGGGCUCUGGUUUCCAGCAGCCAUCCUGGCCAGAGGUACGCUGCUGCCUUAAACUGGGUCAGGCCUCCGUGGUUUCACUGGCCGCUCUUGGGAAACAGGCUUCAGCAGGCUCCGUCCUGAUCCCCGUGGCUGGCCAGCGUCCCUGUGGCUGUGGCCGAGGGGGGAUUUCGUAUUACUUAGAGAACCGAGUGUGCCAGGCUCCCUACUUUCAGCUCUCACCAGCAUUUGAAAGUACGCAACGUCCAAAGACCACGUUUCUAGAAGCACCGAGCAGGGACACUGGGAAACUAAGGAGUGGCCCUGAAGCGGUUGGUGACUGUGUGUCUUCAAGUGAGCAGGCUGAUAUAAAUAUUUUAAUCCUGUGUGUAGAUAGAUGGAUAAGAUAAAACACAUUAGUGAUGACCCCGCCCUGUCUGGAGAGUCCUUGAAAGCGGCCUUUGCUGUAUCCGCCUCAGCGUUUGCUAUUUAGUAGUUACCAUUAAAUUCCUCCUUCCACGUUGCUGUCCCAGAGCCUCAGAGGCUGAAGUAGCGUUUUGUUGUGAUUUGACAGUUAAAUUAUUGACACUCGCGGAAGGUAAUUUCCCCCCAAAAGGUAUAAAACACAGCUAACAGUUUCUCUCUCUUUUUAAUGUAAAAAUCAUCUCUGCGAAGAUUCUGCACUUUGGUUUUUCUUUGCUGAAUUAACGUGGCAUGUGUUUUUGUUUUAGAAAGCAGAGAUGUUUUCUAGUGCCCAGUGUGAGGAGGGGAAGUACAAUCAGGGGUCUUUUGAAAAUGUGCCCAUCUACCUACAGCUUAAAAAUUCCAAGUGCCCGACGUUUCUCUUGGAAGAAAUAAAUGUGUCCAAUUUAGUCAUCUUACCUGUUGAUUGUAUUUUGUGAUUAUUUAUUUUAUAAUUG